RNAcentral lists this transfer RNA (74 nucleotides) under Saccharomonospora xinjiangensis. RNAcentral describes it as "tRNA-Val". It matches the Rfam family "tRNA". Rfam says of the family: Transfer RNA (tRNA) molecules are approximately 80 nucleotides in length. Their secondary structure includes four short double-helical elements and three loops (D, anti-codon, and T loops). Further hydrogen bonds mediate the characteristic L-shaped molecular structure. tRNAs have two regions of fundamental functional importance: the anti-codon, which is responsible for specific mRNA codon recognition, and the 3' end, to which the tRNAs corresponding amino acid is attached (by aminoacyl-tRNA synthetases). tRNAs cope with the degeneracy of the genetic code in two manners: having more than one tRNA (with a specific anti-codon) for a particular amino acid; and 'wobble' base-pairing, i.e. permitting non-standard base-pairing at the 3rd anti-codon position. Lineage: Bacteria; Bacillati; Actinomycetota; Actinomycetes; Pseudonocardiales; Pseudonocardiaceae. The record is from RNAcentral.
GGGCGCAUAGCUCAGCGGGAGAGCACCUGCCUUACAAGCAGGGGGUCGCAGGUUCGAACCCUGCUGCGCCCACC